RNAcentral lists this ribosomal RNA (478 nucleotides) under uncultured bacterium. RNAcentral describes it as "bacterial SSU rRNA". It matches the Rfam family "Bacterial small subunit ribosomal RNA", at positions 28 to 505 of the family's 1533-position model. The record is from RNAcentral.
GACGAACGCUGGCGGCGUGCCUAACACAUGCAAGUCAACUUGACUGAAGGAGCAAUCUGACAGUAGAGUGGCGCAAGGGUGCGUAACGCGUAAGUAACUUGCCCAAGGUAAGGAAUAACGUCGAGAAAUCGGCGCUAAUACCUCAUAAUGCAGCGGAUCCGCAUGGAUAUGUUGUUAAAGGUUUACCGCCUUGGGAUAGGCUUGCGUCUGAUUAGCUAGUUGGUGUGGUAAACGGCACACCAAGGCUACGAUCAGAAACUGGUCUGAGAGGAUGAUCAGUCACACUGGAACUGAGACACGGUCCAGACUCCUACGGGAGGCAGCAGUGAGGAAUAUUGGGCAAUGCUCGAAAGAGUGACCCAGCAACGCCGCGUGGAGGAUGAAGGUAUUCUAUAUCGUAAACUCCUGUGAGAGCAGACGAAAGACAGAUUAUUAAUCUGGAUGACUGUAUGCUCAGAGGAAGCCCCGGCUAACUACG